GUGGGGAAUAUUGGACAAUGGGCGAAAGCCUGAUCCAGCCAUGCCGCGUGUGUGAAGAAGGUCUUCGGAUUGUAAAGCACUUUAAGUUGGGAGGAAGGGCAGUAAGUUAAUACCUUGCUGUUUUGAUGUUACCGACAGAAUAAGCACCGGCUAACUUCGUGCCAGCAGCCGCGGUAAUACGAAGGGUGCAAGCGUUAAUCGGAAUUACUGGGCGUAAAGCGCGCGUAGGUGGUUUUGUAAGUUGGAGGUGAAAUCCCCGGGCUCAACCUGGGAACUGCCUCCAAAACUGCAUGACUAGAGUACGGUAGAGGGUAGUGGAAUUUCCUGUGUAGCGGUGAAAUGCGUAGAUAUAGGAAGGAACACCAGUGGCGAAGGCGACUACCUGGACUGAUACUGACACUGAGGUGCGAAAGCGUGGGGAGCAAACAGGAUUAGAAACCCUGGUAGUCC
RNAcentral lists this ribosomal RNA (450 nucleotides) under uncultured bacterium. RNAcentral's name for it is "bacterial SSU rRNA". It matches the Rfam family "Bacterial small subunit ribosomal RNA", at positions 354 to 796 of the family's 1533-position model. The record is from RNAcentral.